AGUUGAGCGGAGAUAUUGGAGCUUGCUUUAUAUAACUUAGCAGCGAACGGGUGAGUAACACGUAGAUAAUCUAUCCUAUACUGGGGGAUAGCCCGAUGAAAGUUGGAUUAAUACCGCAUAUAGCUAUAUAGUUGCAUGAUUAUGUAGUGAAAGAUUUAUUGGUAUAGGAGGAGUCUGCGGCACAUUAGCUAGUAGGUGAGGUAAAGGCUUACCUAGGCGACGAUGUGUAGCCGGUCUGAGAGGAUGAACGGCCACAAUGGAACUGAGACACGGUCCAUACUCCUACGGGAGGCAGCAGUGGGGAAUAUUGCACAAUGGGGGAAACCCUGAUGCAGCAACGCCGCGUGAGUGAAGAAGGUUUUCGGAUUGUAAAGCUCUGUUAGCAGGGAAGAGGAAGGACGGUACCUGCAGAGGAAGCCACGGCUAACUACGUGCCAGCAGCCGCGGUAAUACGUAGGUGGCAAGCGUUGUUCGGAAUAACUGGGCGUAAAGGAUGCGUAGGCGGUUAAACAAGUUAUAUGUUAAAUAUAUAGGCUUAACCUGUAGAAAGCAUAUAAAACUGUUUAACUAGAGUGCAGGAGAGGUAAGUGGAAUUCCUAGUGUAGCGGUGAAAUGCGUAGAGAUUAGGAAGAACACCAGUGGCGAAGGCGACUUACUGGACUGUAACUGACGCUGAGGCAUGAGAGCAUGGGGAGCAAACAGGAUUAGAUACCCUGGUAGUCCAUGCUGUAAA
This 733-nucleotide ribosomal RNA is filed under the name uncultured bacterium. Its description in RNAcentral is "bacterial SSU rRNA". It matches the Rfam family "Bacterial small subunit ribosomal RNA", at positions 60 to 806 of the family's 1533-position model. The record is from RNAcentral.